UCUUCUUCUUCUUCUCCAAAUUCUGAUUAUUUUCACGGCUCUCAGCGGCUCGGCUCCAGUCAAAUGCACAUGCAACGUGGAUCCGGACACUGGCAUUGCGUCGACGAUUUGUGAAGGAU
Caenorhabditis elegans is the source of this 119-nucleotide non-coding RNA. NCBI's taxonomy places the organism in Eukaryota, Metazoa, Nematoda, Chromadorea, Rhabditida, Rhabditidae. The record is from Ensembl.